Artibeus jamaicensis (Jamaican fruit-eating bat) is the source of this 809-nucleotide long non-coding RNA. RefSeq lists it as uncharacterized. The transcript is spliced from 4 exons. NCBI's taxonomy places the organism in Eukaryota, Metazoa, Chordata, Mammalia, Chiroptera, Phyllostomidae. The record is from RefSeq and is a predicted model, not a curated record.
GGAACCACAACAGGGUUUGGCAGCCUUGGGGCUUCUUGGGAUCUCAUCGCAGUUCGGGCCCUGCCUGCACAAAAAUGGAGCCCCUGCUUCUCUGAGCCUGAGUUUCCCAUCUGUACCAGGAGUAGGAUACUAAUUGAACUGCACCCUGAGCCAUUUGUGGACUAAGUGGGAGGCCCGCGCGGUGAAGAUGACAAGUCCAGGCCCCCACAGAAUCGAGGUCCAGCAGAGACGGCAGCUGCGGAGCAGAGAUUGCGAGGCCCACAAUUGCAAAGACGGGCAGGGCGCUCGGCUCGAACAGCAGGGCUUCUGUGCUCCGGCUCAGUGCGGGUUUCCCUGAGGCCACCUGAAUGCUGUCACCUGCAUCCAUCACGGCCGGCUGGAGGUUACUCGCAACCGCCUUGAGCCCAUUGCUUUUCCAGGAAAACGACCCUGAAUUCAAAUGCACUUUCACACCCAGCCCUGCAGUUCAGCGACACAAACACCCUCCCACCUCCCGAGCAGAGCCACUUGGUUGCUCCCUCCUCUGCUACAGUCCUGCCAGUACUGUUGCCCAGCAGCUCUGGGCCCAUCUGUCUGCUUCCCUGGAAUUGAUUACGAGCAUGUAUCCUGGAACCAGGCUUCCGAGGUUCGAAUACCAGCUCUACCACGUACCAGCUGCGUGACUUCAGUCUCCUCAUUGGUCAAUUGGUAAAAAUUGGGACUGCAGCAACACCAGUCAAUAUGGCUAUUAGGAGAAUUCAAUGAAGUAACAUUCAACGAGAGUCAUUAUUAUUCUUAUCAUCAAGCUCUGUCUUCGGUAUCCAGCAUCA